ACAGCUCCGAGCAGUGGAUCACUCGGCUCGCGGGUCGAUGAAGAACGCAGCCAGCUGCGAGAUUUGGUGUGAAUUGCAGAACACUCAGAUCACUGAUUAUUCGAACGCACAUUGCGGCUCCCGCUCCUCUGCGGGAGCCUCGCCUGUCUGAGGGUCGCGUGAUGCAUGCAGAGGUUCUUUCCUCGGAAGGUGACCAAACGGCCCCUUCGGAUUCGUCCGUGGGCUCAGAGAACGAUCUCUCCCGGGGAUCGACCGCAAACGUACCCCCGGGAGUAAGAUAAAGGGAUAACUAUGAUAAGAAGCGACCUCAGAUCAGACGAGAGAACCGCCGAACUUAAGCAUAUCAGUAAGCGGAGGAAAAGAAAACAACAGUGAUUCCCCCAGUAGCGGCGAGCGAAAAGGGAAGAGCCCAGCGCCGAAUCCCUGCGUCGAGAGGCGCAAUCUGGGAAAUGUGGCGUAAGGAGUGCGCGCAGGUCCGCCGCAGGGUUCGAGGUAAGUCCCCCUGACAGGGGCUUUUCCCGUGGCGGGUGCCAGGCCCGUGUCCUCGAGCCCCUCGGCGGUGCCGGCGCCUCCGGAGAGUCGGGUUGCUCGGGAGUGCAGCCCCAAGGCGGGAGGUAGACUCCUCCCAAGGCUAAAUACGACCGCGAGACCGAUAGCAAACAAGUACCGUGAGGGAAAGUUGCAAAGAACUUUGAAGAGAGAGUUCAAGAGACGUGAAACUGCUCGGAGGGAAACGGGUGGGCCCUC
RNAcentral lists this ribosomal RNA (747 nucleotides) under Trichonephila clavata. RNAcentral's name for it is "partial 28S ribosomal RNA". The stretch from base 303 to 747 matches the Rfam family "Eukaryotic large subunit ribosomal RNA", at positions 1 to 432 of the family's 3401-position model. Lineage: Eukaryota; Metazoa; Arthropoda; Arachnida; Araneae; Nephilidae. The record is from RNAcentral.